AAAACAUAGAUUAUAAUCACGCUAACAGCUAUUAAUUCCCUAAUCAACAAAUUCAAUCCUAAAACAUUCCCCUCAAAUAUCACAAGUGUUCUAAGCUUCCUAAUUUUUAUUCUUAGCCGAAUCUUCUCUGAGGGAUACAAUUCUAUUCAAUACAAGAUGAUUUGGUUUCUUAGUAUCCUCAUCUAAACAGAAAUAUCCAACCCGCAUAGCUUGAAAACGGACACUUUCAGGAUUUUCGGCUUUGUCGACACCAGCCGAUGAAUCAGUCUUAGGCCAAGGUGCCGAUUUAAUUAAAUCAUAAAUGCCAGGUUCAAUAAUGGAAUUUUUUAGUACGACUUCGCUCUCUGGAUUCAAUUGUGCAGCGAGCUCUUGUUCUUUUAGGGCGGCAGGGUUAUCACAUUUGAAAAGAUUAUUAAAGAGGCGGGUUUCAGCAAUAAGUACUGGACUAUUACUUUCUUUGUCCCUAGACACCCAUUGAAUAAAGGUCUUAGGCUUCUUUGAAGAGCUAGCGUCGUACUCAGCGAUGAUUUCUAUUGGUUCCCCUUCAUCAUUUUUUACAACCCUUUUGGCAACUACAGGAUGAGAGGCACGGAACAAGCCAACCGGUUGACCUAAUGUCAAACGGAAAAAGUCAGAAGAUGCUUCCUCACGAAAAUCAGAACGGUCAAUGUAUAUAUGCUUUGUAAGAAAAGCAGAACGAGAUCCCAUAGAAGGAUCUUUAGGAUUAAAGGGUAUCUCAAUUUGCUCUCUGUAAGAGUCGUCUAGAUUUUCUAAUGUAACCUUGAUAGGAUCAGGAAGAAACAUAAGACGUGGUACACUGUUUUCGAGAAAUUUUCGAACACAGUUCUCAAAUCGAGCAACUUCUAUAUUGCUGACGGCAGUAGUGACACCGACUUCACUAACAAACUCAAGGAUAGCACCUGGAGGAACACCUCGGCGGCGAAGAGCUACAAGGGUAUAUAGCCUAGGAUCAUUCCAACCAUGAACGUAUCCUUCCUUUACCAAUUUCAUUAUUUUUCGUUUGCUCAUGAGGGUUCCGACAACGUUCAAACGACCGUACUCACGCUGAGCAGGACAAUAAACUUCCAAGGCAUUACAUAACCACUCAUAACUUACUCUAGAUAAUAUAAACUCAGUCGUACACAAAGAGUGAGAAAUGUUCUCGAACGAAUCAACUAAACAAUGGGUAAAAUCAUAAGUUGGGUAAAUUUUCCACUUGUCUCCAGUACGAGGAUGAGGAGAAUUAAGAACACGGUAGGCAAUAAGGUCCCACAUUUGAGGAUUUCCAUCACUGAGAUCUUGUUUCAUACGUAAAAUAGCCUCCUUCGGUUGAUACUUUCCAUCACGCAUAUUACGAAAUUCAAGAAGCGAUUCUUCUAUCGGGCGGUCCCGAUGAACACAAGCAUAACGAGGACCGCGCUCCUCACCACCUCUAGCUUUUUUAAUUUCAGCAUCGGUACAAUGACAAACAUAUGCCUUGUCCCGCUUAAUGAGCUCUUCGGCUAACUCAUAUAACUUAUCAAAGUAAUCACUGGAAUAGGUGAUCUUAUAAGGUUGGAAUCCCAACCAGGCUACCAAAUCCUUGAUGCUUUCAAAGUAACGCUCUUCUUCAGCUUCCGGAUUAGUAUCAUCAAAGCGUAAAUAACAAACGCCGUUAUGAUAGCGAGCAAACCCAAAAUUAACAGCGAUUGCUUUGGAAUGGCCAAUAUGGAGGUACCCAUUUGGUUCCGGAGGAAACCUGGUUACAACGCCGCCUCCAGUAGCCUGCAGGUGCUCCUUCAUCCUUUCAGGAAUCAGCUGCGUAUUACCACCUGGUUUAUGUAGCUUUGCUAAAAACCCUUCCUCAAACAUAUUAUAUUUCUUAGACUGUUCAGAAACAAUUUUUUGUUCCUUAGCUUUCCCAGAAUCAACAGUCUUCUGCUUCGAAUUCUUGGCUUUUGCGCCUUUUUUUUUACCAGCGGCAGCAUCUUGUUCGGUUUUUGGUCCCAAGAGUUCAAGGAAUUUCCUAUCAAGGGUCUGCUUGACCUCCAGUUGAGGAGCCCAUUUCAAUAAAGCAUGCUGACGUAAAGCAGAGGCAGAAGGAUUUAACAGCUGGUAUCUUUGCUCCAAAAUUUUUGACUUAUUCUCAGCGACAUAAUCACCGACGAGUUGUUCAAUUUGUUCAGGUGUUAAGACUACACCAACACCAGUUUCUUUAUCGAACUCAGAUUCGUCGAUCGUGUCUUUGUCCUUGCAAUAGGUAAUAGCCGCAUUGACUUGGAGGUUUGUUUUUAAGUCUCCAGAUACAAUUUUGGAAGCUAUGAAUGCCUCAUGAGCAUUGGAUUUCGGGUCUUUUUGUUUUAAAGAAGCGUUGGCCAAUGUAAAUAGCAAAUUUCCAAUUGUUCUAUCACAUCCCGAAGAACCAACGUUAGUUUCCUCAAUGACCUUAUUUAAUGAAGAAGAAAGCUUUUUAUUUUUUAACGUAUCUUUUACCGUUGUUUCAUUUAAUCCUAUUUUUGUAAACUUGGCACGUAACUCCUCAUAAUCCUGGUCCAUUUUAGUAUAAUAAAACUUCCCUCCAAAAAAUGUAUAAGUAUUGCAAUAA
Molecule: non-coding RNA, 2584 nt
Organism: Schizosaccharomyces pombe (fission yeast)
Lineage: Eukaryota; Fungi; Ascomycota; Schizosaccharomycetes; Schizosaccharomycetales; Schizosaccharomycetaceae
Source: the annotation of a GenBank genome assembly